GCCACCGCAAUAUGCGCUCCUCUUUCUUCUCUCCAAGAUCCAGCCGCGUACCACUCCACCACAACAGAACUUAACGGGUGAGCGCUCCACCAGAUGUGCUGCAUUUAUUUCUAUUUUUUGUUUCUAUUCCCAUUGAUUUCUUUCUAAAAUCCUGUUUAAAGUGACAAAAUCUGAAACUGAAAUCUGCACAUUAUGUUCUGUGUAUAAAUUUCGGUAGUAAACCGAACCGAUUUUUCGGUUAACCGAAGUUUCAGUUAGUAGAUUUGCAAGCUUAUUUCGGUUUCCAGAUUUGCUAACCGAAUAUACAAAAUAACCGAACAGUAGAAACUGAAAAAACGCCCAGGCCUAGUAAGUAGCAAGAAACAUGAAAACACUGGAGUAGUUGAUAACCCCUACACCAGCUGCAUUAUGAUUUACUCUGGAGUAUUGUGUUAUUUGUUGUUGCUUGCAAAUGUUGGAUUUGGUGGAACAUACAUUCCUCGUACCUUUUAUUUGCUUAAGCCCAUUUUAUUCUCGUGUUGAACAAUUGCAAGCUUGCAGCAUAGCUGAAGCAUUGCAAUCUACGGAGCUAAAGUAUUGUGAAGAAACAAACAUCUGAAUAAGUGUUCAGGCAAAAUAUGUGUGGAUCCGGAAGGUAGCACGAUUCUCAAUUCAUUCUUCAGAACCUACAUUUGAAUUCAUUAAAGUUUAAUUUACUGCAUCGUCAUGAUCUAAAACAUAAGAACACAUGUUUUUCAAUACAGUUUUGAGUGGCAUCCUAUGUAGGCUAACUUGUGCAAACUGGAAGAUACUUCAACAUAUUUCAGAGGCCUUAUUUGGUACAGAAGUAACAUUCAACACGACAGUAAAUCUUGACAUUAUUGGUAUUACCUGGUUCUACUUGUGGGGCCGAUGACUCGGGUUCUUCGACAUUAGCAAUUCAUUUGUCACCUUAGUAAUUCAAUAACUUUCAGUUUGUCACCUUAGCAAUUCAAUAAUACUCCCUCCGUUCAGAAUUACUUGUCUCGGAUAUGGAUGUAUCUAGAACUAAAAGAUACAUCCAUAUCCAAGACAAGUAAUUCCGAACGGAGGGAGUAGUAACUAUCACUACAAUUAAGAACAAAGAGUAUAUACUCAGCCCUAGAGAAGUAGCAUAGACCAACCUUCUCAACUAAUUCUUCUUGCGGGACAGUCUAAAUUCCUGGAGCUAAAAAAUUGCAGGAAGCGUUAGAUGGCAGCACUGUACUUGGGCUCAAGAUGCUACUAUGGUCACCCUGGAGGACACAUAAAAAGGAUAAAUAAAAAAAUUGACUAACCAAUAAUACAUUCAUUUGUCUCAAGUAUACACAUGUGAUUCAUUGAGCAUGUUAAUCUGAUGCAUCCAAUAAUUAGAUAAUGGCAUGUGGACACCUUCGUGUGUACAUUGUAUAUACCUUGAGCGUCACCAAGGAUUUGGAUGGCACCGCCGGUAGUGUAGCUCCGGCGAUCAGCACUGCCGAGCCUUCCGGUGGCCGCACCAAUUACCCUUCCGGAUCAUUGCCAUAUUCUGCAAAUCGAUUGGUUCUACCAUACGAACUGCAUGCACAGAUAGUAUAACAAGAAUUUCAGAUUUAAGCCUGAAAACACACUCUCAUACAAUUCACUCCCCUAUACAGAACAACUUCAGAUUUAAGCUUGGGAGGCUAGGACCAAGUAUGAAACACAAGGUAAUGAAUGUUCAACCAUACUAUUGAGAAUAAUAAUGUAAAAAAAAAUUAGGUGUAUGUCAAUGAGCUCUACACCCAGAGAAGUAUCUUGCUGAUUGUUUUGACCCUUUUAUAGGUCACUGUACAUCAAAGCAAUAAGCAUAAGAUGGAGAUAUUCCUGAGCAAUUCUCGGUUGCCCUACGCCUAUAUAUGCUCCAAUUUCCUUUGCACUCUUUCUCAUAUUGUUUUGAAGAAAAGAGCUGGAAAGCAACCACAGGUCCAUCCUCUAUUGUUGUCGCUCCUCCAUUAUUUGUGCCGUAGGUUCUAGGUUCAUCUGUGCAUCCUAACCAGAUAUGAUUGUUCUCAAGAAAAUUGUUUUGGCUUGGUAAUAGAAGAAGAAAAAGAAUGGAGAAGUGCUUGGCUCGGUUGUGGAUCUCGGGCUGGUCAUGUACUGCUGGCUGGACUGGAGAGGACCUCCACGCUGUCGAGCUCUUACUGGGCUGGUGCUUUCAGUUCGCCAUGAUCAGAAACCCUAUCUGAAAGCCUGCAAAGCGCGUAGGCAGGGCAGGUGGAGGCAUACCUAGGUUGCCGCCGUGGCGGACAAAGGAGCAGCCAGAGUGUUGUGCGGCAAAGGAGGCGCAAGCGGCGAGGAUCUGGUCGCGGAGCUCGCCGAGGCGCGCGGCAACAUCGGGCUCCUUCCAGGAUGCCUCGCGCCGCUCCUCUUCGUGCUUGAUCCGCAUGUAGGACGCCCGCAUCCGUAGACGCCAUCUGUCGUGGAAUUGUCACGGCAGAUGUCCUUAGUGUCAGGACUUAGUCGCGAGGCCAACACAUCUAUGUGGUAGCUUGAGAGGGGUUGAACGGGACGAGAGACGCGAUGUUUUACCCAGGUUCGGCCCCUCACGGUGGAGGUAAAAGCCUACAUCCUGCUUCAUUGAUAUUGAUGAUGAUGAUCACGGUUACAAGAGUGCUCUAUCUCGAGAGCUAUUGUCUAAACCUAACUUGUCCAACUUGUGGAACUUGUCAAUCUUGUCCCCUUUUGGGGAGCCCUGCCCCUCCUUAUAUAUGUUGAAGGGGCGGUUUACAUAUGGAGUCCUAUUAGGAUUAGGACUAGUCUAUCUCUAAUACAAACCGGAUACAAGUCCAGGUCUUAACUCCUUGUAGGACAAAUAUUCCUCAUGCCUUUCCUCUUAAACCGGCCCACCGUUAAACGUGAACCGGCCUUCUGGGCCUUGGGCCUUGUCAUCCGUCUGUCUCGCACGCCGGAUCACCAGUGAGUCAUAAUGACCAGGUGGGUUGCUUGUAAACCGCCAGGUCAGGGCGGGUCGCCAGUAACUCGUCAAGUGUCAGCGGGGUCUUCAGAUAAACCGCCAAGUCCGGCCGGGGUAACUUUCGGCCGGUUUACACCGCGGGGUAUAUCCCCGACAUUAGCCCCCAAGUUUAGCUUGGAUUUAUUCAUAGUAAACUUAUGCUGCAAAAUAAACACAAGAACAAAUUUGACAGGUUAUGCUCCGCGUUAAGAAUUUUUGUAAACUGGUACCUGAUCAUCCUUAAGUCCUUGUUAUUUCCUCCUUCUGGGAAAUCCAGAUCAAUAAACCAACUUCAUACUCAAUUUGCCGACAUUGGUUUGUCACCGAGAAAUAUUGUGAAGAAUAAAUCCUUUGACUCAGCUCCCAAAGCACCGGUUUAAGAAAUAUGGGUCUGAAAAUACUUAUCUGAUAUUCAGCCGGUUUGAAGAUGUAAAACUUGCCAGUUUAAUAUUACCAAAAUGGCCGGUUUAUAAAUAUUGAUGGCACCGGGUCAUAAUUGUUGUCGACACCGGGUCAUGUAAUUGAUCUUCCUGAUUUGCUCAAAACUGAUAAAAUGAAGAUGUUCCUCCUUUAUAUGCAUAAUACCUGUAGCCCCCAAGUAUUAAGAGGAGAACAUAGUGAUAACUUAAGACUUGCUCCAAUAAGUGUUUCAACCUUGAAGAAAUCCGAUUAGUUCAUCUCAAUCAUAUAAACUGAAUACUCCAUAUAUGUAGCCCCCAAGUGCCGGGUUGUCAUGCUUGCAGCAACCUGGGACUUGUAAUUUCCUGAUGCUCAUAAAAAACUUCAACCAGUGUAGCCCCCAAGGGCCGGGUCAUUAUGUAAAUAAUGAGCAGGGACUUUGAAAAUAUGAUCAUGUAGACUUUAACAGCAACGUGUAGCCUCCAAGGGCCGGCUCAGUAAGAUAAUAUUGAGUUGGGACUUUAUAUAUACUUCAUUGAGAAUAACAUUAUAUUAUGUAACUCCCAUCAUGGGGCUUGAACCCAUAUUCACAAGGUUGAGAGCUUUGUGCUUUACCAACUGAGCAAUGGAUCCUUCAAUAAUAGAUGAAAACGUGUGUACCUUGAAUUGUUGACAGGAGCAAUUGGUAGCUCCCAAGUGUCAUGGUGCAUGCUUGCAGUGACAUGAGACUUGCAUGUAAUCUCGAUUUGAAUAACGUAGCCCCCAAGUGCCGGGUUGUAAGCCUGCAGCGACUCAGGACUAUUCAUUCCAUUGUAGAAUAAAUCAUAUCUAUUGAUAAUAUGAUAGCCAUUACGCUAAAGCGACUUUGAAAACCUUACUCAUAAUACUAGUUAUUGAUAACCAUAAUAAAAAUCCAGCCAUGUUGGCUAUUUGAAUAAUAUACCCAAUGAUUUAUAGGCCAUAAUUCCAAUGGUGCAAUCCAAAUAUAUACUGGCAACUUAUAGUCCAAAGCCAGGCCAGUUCAAUAAACACCGGUGAUUUGUAAUUAUGCUUUAUUCAACCUGUUUCUGCAUACAACAAGUGUAAAGUAUCCUGGCGGUUUACCGCCGGACGGGUCAUAACGCCCAACAUAGAACCCGGGUUUAUAACCAAGGCUGCAUUUAAGAAUAAUCAAAUAUGAAAUAUAUCAUACCUGUGACAUUGAAUCACAUUGUUGGUUUUAUCAACUUUUUGUAGUAAAGGUGAUAACCCCAAUCUUGAGUACUGAUAACUCCUUCCAUAUUGUGCCGGUUUAUGAUAAAACCGUGCCGGGCUGUGAUAAACACCGGUUUACUCCAUAAUAGGAUGGUAACAGAAAAUCAAACCGGGCAGAUAGUCUCCAGAUUAAGAUUUGACCGUGUUCCGUCAAUUUGUAAUUGACAGUUUGGGCCGGUUUAAAACUUUGUCGGUUUAAAAACGCAACAAAAAUAAAAGAAACAGUUAUCAAGGAAAAUAUUGAAGCAAAGGCAAUGAUAAAACCAUUUGCAAAAAAGAGGCUUAUUUGAGCUGAUCAGAUGGUGUUACCAUGGUCGGACACGACCAAGCUCCCGAUAGGUGUAACUAUGGUUCAAGUCAGCCAGGUCCCCAAAUGAAACCGUGGCAUUUAUGCCGAUCAAGUGGCAUGGCAAUGGUUCGGGUUCGACCAAGCCCCCAAGUGAUUCUGUGGCCUUAGGCCGAUCAAGAGGCAUGACUGGUUCAGACGUGACCAAGUCCCCAAGUGAUCUGGUGGCUCUCGCCUAUCAAGACGUAUUGCAUUUGUUCGGACACGACCAAGCCCCCAAGUGAUGUAACAUGAUGCUUUUGAAAAGCUAACUCAAGGGGUAAACCGGAGGCCGCUUUAGAACAACUCCGUGUAACCACACAUGAUGUAAAAGAACCGAGACCCCGCUUUAUGAAGCAGAAGCCCCCAUGUGAUCAAUAAUAUGUCAGGCCAGUAAGGCGGGAUACCCAUGUUUAAACCGCGCAUCAUGGCAGCAGGUCCUCUUUGGCAAUUUUUAACUUUUUGCAAGAGAUAAAUUCUUCUUGAACCGGGAUCUUGAACCGGAUAUUGAGAGCUUCAAAGCUUUGUGGGAGACAUCUUUCCCUUGAACCGGAUUUUAAACCGGAAUCUUCAUUUUUAGCUGGAAAUUUUCUGACGGCCUUUAAACUCGAACUUGCGAGAAGUUAAUUCCUUUUUGAACCGGAAAUUCUUAAACCGGAUUUGAGAGCUUCAGAGCUUUGUCAGAGAACAAAUUUCCCUUGUACCGGAUUGUAAACCGGAAUCCUUUUCUGAUGACCCGAAACUUCUUCAUUGAGCCGGAAUUUUGCAACUGUCAUAUACUUUCUAAUCCGGAAAUCUUCUGACAGCACAAUGUGAAUCUGGGACCAGGUUAUCUUUCCCUCCAACGUAUUGGGGUUCUUGACUUCACUGAAAACCGGCAACGUUUGCUAAGUCAUAUCAUUGUAGCCCCCAAGUCUCAAGGUGACUCGAGGAGUUGGCUUGAGAUUCUCCAUAUUUGACCGUGAUAUAAACCGGCAUAACUUGUAUAUCAUUGGCGUUGAUAGCACGAUGUGAAUCCACAGAAAGUUGAGGUGACUGCGGCGGGUUAUAAAUGAUCCCAUACGAGCCAUGUCAGCAACUCGGCCAAUGGUUCCUUCCAACUGACUUGUUCGAAGUUAACCAAACUAUAGUGGCAGUGAUUUGUGCGCAUGUCCAUUGAUCCAUCCAGUGCAGACGGUGGCUGAAUGAUAAUUUGCCUCCAAUUUGUUGGAAGAAAACCGGGCUACCCAAGCUGUGACUUGCUCAUACUCAAUAAACAGCUCAGGCAAACAGGUGCGGCCUGACGUGUUGAUGUAGACCAGGCCAUGAGAGACGGACGGAAAAUACGUCCGCAGCAUCAGAGGCGGCACAGACAGAUGAGUCGGUCGCGGCAUUGUAAACCGGUGCAGACGGAGAAAAUCAGCACCAAUGUCGUAAACCGUCACGGACGGGCGAGUUAACCGCGGGCGCGGUCCCGGCAAGCUGAUGUAAACCAGACCACCGGGACAGCAACUUGCGCACGUUCAUUCACCGGGUGGUUGACACGGAUGAAACGCGGGUGCAUAGCAUUGCUAGUGCGUGCUCCGUGCCCGUAAUAUAACGUCUCAUUUGUAAUGAAAAAUUGUCCUACGUCAAAAAAUAUCACAUGCCAAAGUAAUUGUUUCUUGACAAAAAUAAUAUGUGCUAAUAAAAUAGGCCUUAAAUGGAUAUCACCUGAUUUGUCCACACGGCGGAUGAUCCGUAUUCAGUGUUCGUGAAUAAUCUCCAGUAGAUUCAAUAGCAAUUUAGCCACUCUCUCGAGACCGCGGCAGCUCACAUCAGACUCGCGACGGCUCAGAAUAAGGCCUGGCUUUGGAGGCAGAGGCGGCCGAUGACUUGCAAGUAGCAGGCGAGUCGAGGAACCCGCGACCGCCCACGGCGGUUCAAAGCAGAAGCAAACAGCGGGUGUCGGAGACUUGCAGGAGAAGUGCGGCGAGGCCGCGCUGCAGCAACUCGGAUGGAGGACGGUUUGCGGCAGAGGUGAUCACGGCAACAGCUCACCGAUGAGGGUAGAAAGGCGGAGGGGCGGACCAGCUCGGAAAUUUGAUAAUUUGAGGCGUACACAACGGUGAUUCGGUGCAUUGGCAACCCGGCGACGGGCGGCCAUGGUGACUCACAACAGACGCGGGCGGUUUAAGACCGGAGCGAAGCACGGCGACGGCGAAUCUCAACAGACGCGGGCGGUUCAGGGCCAGCCACGGCGGGCCACGGCUGUGGAAGCGCGUGGCAGCACAGGGGUAUCGAACCGGCCGCGGUGAAGGCAGGCGAAGACAACGGGAGCUCGAGGCGAGGCCGCGGUAGUAGCGUGAACCGGUGAUGCAAGGUCGAUGAUGUGGCAAUCCAUGGCCACGACGGGUUGAUAAAAGCGGCUCGAUCGUUGAGCUGUGGCCGCUUGUGUAGAUACAGAGGCGACUUGUCAAGGCCACGGUUGUCGCGGCGAUGAAAUUGGCGGGUCACACGGCGCCUGAACAAGGCUGGGAGCGACCCGCCACUGGCUUGGCGCAGGCGGCUUGAGGCCGAGGUGGCCCGAGCGGCGGUUCUGGCAAUGAGGCAAUGGGGCAUCGGGGCUGGCAGGCGCGCUCAACGAGGCGGGUCAAUACACACAGCCAGCGGGUCUCUGCAUCGGCGGCGAGCUAGCUUGGCAAUCUGAUAAGUCUCAAUCUAUGACCCCAUCAGUUUCCAGGUUAUCUCUGUUUUUCGGGUCGAAGCCGUGUCUAUCUUGUUGGCUGAGACCGGCCGGCAAUUUGCUUAGGCCGGCUUUGUUUAAUCACUCCCAUGCUGAAAUCACCUGCUGACACUUCUUUGUGUUCCGUGCAUCAAAACAAGUGAUCAAUUCCAAUUUCUUCCAGCAUUGCCACAUCAUCCCUUGUUACUUUGUUUAACAAGGAAACCGACGAGGACCCCGGCGAUUUGAUAAAGUAGAUGUUGUCUUUUGCCCGCACGGUGGCCGAUGUAGCAAAUAUCAAUUUGUCUUCGGAUUCGGUGAAUCGCCGGAUCAUGUUUAUCUGUUGCAUCGUAACCCUAAAUUUCCACUGUUCCUCUGGACUCGAAAACUUACCCUGCCAGAUUCGUAGUUGUCCAUCAAAUUUACCCGCCCGCAGCUCUGCUUAAUAUUGUUGAUCCUUGCAGUUCUUCUUCAUCCGUAAACUGCGAGCUUCUCAAUCCUAGAGAGGUCCCUUCAAGAACUCAACACCACCGUGCGCAGGCCCCACGGUGGGCGCCAACUGUCGUGGAAUUGUCACGGCAGAUGUCCUUAGUGUCAGGACUUAGUCGCGAGGCCAACGCAUCUAUGUGGUAGCUUGAGAGGGGUUGAACGGGACGAGAGACGCGAUGUUUUACCCAGGUUCGGCCCCUCAUGGUGGAGGUAAAAGCCUACAUCCUGCUUCAUUGAUAUUAAUGAUGAUGAUCACGGUUACAAGAGUGCUCUAUCUCGAGAGCUAUUGUCUAAACCUAACUUGUCCAACUUGUGGAACUUGUUAAUCUUGUCCCCUUUUGGGGAGCCCCGCCCCUCCUUAUAUAUGUCGAAGGGGCGGUUUACAUGUGGAGUCCUAUUAGGAUUAGGACUAGUCUAUCUCUAAUACAAACCGGAUACAAGUCCAGGUCUUAACUCCUUGUAGGACAAAUAUUCCUCAUGCCUUUCCUUUUAAACCGGCCCACUGUUAAACGUGAACCGGCCUUCUGGGCCUUGGGCCUUGUCAUCCAUCUGUCCCGCACGCCGGAUCACCAGUGAGUCAUAAUGACCAGGUGGGUUGCUUGUAAACUGCCAGGUCAGGGCAGGUCGCCAGUAACUCGCCAAGUGUCAGCGGGGUCUUCAGAUAAACCGCCAAGUCCGGCCGGGUUAACUUCCGGCCGGUUUACACCGCGGGGUAUAUCCCCGACACCAUCUCUCCAUUCCUUCACCGCUUGCCACUCCGGUUGCUUCGGGAGGUUGGUUCCUCGCGCCUUGGGUAGCAGAGGAGAGGAGGAGUGGCAGGCGGCGGCGAUGGGAAUAGGGAGGAGUUGUGUGGCGGCUGGGGGAGAGGUGGGCGCUAUGGUUGGAGUUGGAGACGUGAUUUUUUUGUUACAACUGAUACGAUGAUGUUUGCUCGGGGGAUGACGUCGUGAGCGGAUUAGUGGGCAUGCGUGGAGACCGUACGAUGGUGGCAGACUGGCAGAACAUUUAAUCUCAUCCAUUCGUUUCAAUGGCAGACCAUCAAAGUAAUACGGGAUCUUAGAUACAAUUAAGUGGGUUAGAUCUGAUAUAUCCGUAUCUAGACAAAUCUAAGACAAGAAUUUUGGGACGGAGGGAGUAGUAGUAUAGAUAUAGAUAUAGAUAUCUUUCCUUAAUAAUAAAGCACGGAUUGACUCCGUGGGUUCACCAUCACAAUACGCUUUUUUCUCAUGUCAUAAUACGCUUUUACGAUUUGUAGAGACAAAAUCGCAAUAUAAACGAGGUGGUAUUAUUAGGAAAAGAGAGAACCCGCAGUCCUAGCCCAACUCUUGCUGAACUGUCGGGCAUCUUCCUGCGCGGUCUGGCCUGGGCCAGCGCGCUUCCCUGGGCUGAGCUGGGCCAGCUACGCAUCUUCCUGCGCGGUCUGGCCUGGGCUGGCGCACUUCCCUAGCCAAGCUCGCCAGCUACACAUCCUUUUUUCAGUGAAAGGCAACAAUCAGCAAAAAGUUAAUAGAGCUCGUAUGGGAUUCGAACGCUGGACCAUCCCACUCAAAUAUAAGGGCGCAACCAGCUGGGAAAGCACACACUUUUGGUUCAUAACAUGGUUUGCUUUCCAAUAGUCCAUCUUUAUUAUUUUUACCAAAUUCUACUAAUUUAUAUACCUUCACAAGUUGCCUAUCAACAAGCCUUGAGAAGCAAGAAAUAAGGGAUCAAAUAAAUCAACUCCAGAAAUUGAGUGGUCAAUGCACGACUGCUGAUUGGCUGGCUAAUUAUUGUAAAUGGUAUCUUAAGGAAUUAAGUCAGCGUUGCAUGCAGGAUUAGCGGGAAGGAAGGACAAAUGGAACCCCAGCCAUGCAUGCAUGCGAGCUCCGGUGAGAGAUCAAUUCCGCCCAUUAAAUUAUGUUGCUCCCAUGAGAUUUUUUCUUCUAAAAUCCCAAAUGGAUUUUCUAAAUUUUACGUGAAUGAACCCCAGACGGAUUUGUGGGCGAUAUGUUUGAAUCUCCAAGAAGCUUCAACGAGGGGCGCUGGUGCAUGCGUUCGGGUUGAAUCUCCAAGAAGCUUCACCGACUUCCCAUUGGUAAGUCCAAUUUAUUUUGUGUUUCAACCUUCUUCCUAUAGCACUUGUGCUUGAUAAUGAUGUUGUACACAAAAUGGCUUAUGAGAUAUCUGGAUAAUGUGUAUACAAAUGAUUUUUGGUUAAUAAUUUGUAUGAUUCAUUUGGCAAAAAAAUAUUCUUGUUCUUUGUGGAGCUUUAUACAGCAGUUCUGUCAUCAUAGCCUUUUCAAGUCUGUACAUCUACAUGGAAAGGUUCGCCUACAAACUAGGGUUCACUUGGGUUAAAAAAAGUAUAUUUUACACACACAAAAUGCUUGAAGUUCAAUUACUGAUUCUUAGUAAGUACACUCUAUUUUGGGGAGUGCACAUCUUGCUUAGAAAACAUGGGUAAGUUCAUGAAGAGAAAAAUCAUACGUUGAAAAUCUAGGAAAGCGGUAAUCCAUAGGCCCAUGCCACAGUGCCGAUGCAUACAUGCCUGCUUCUACCCGCAGUUUUACUAGUUGUUUGUUGAACAUUCCAUGGAAUGUUUUUAGAUGCUAAGUGCCAGUGCCACGGUUGAUGGUGGUAUACAUAAAAAACAAUGCAUUGUGGCAGUGUAGCUGAACUAGAGCAUCGAAGGCUAAUUAAUUGUAGUUUCUUGUUGCACAAUAACAGUUUGUGUGCACCAUGUGUGUAAGAAUGUUGUUGCUGGAUGGCCAAAAAAACAGAGCUUAAUUAGUCUCGACAAUACAAUGGUUGGCUGGAGAUUUCUUUUUACUUGUCCAGAGAAAAUUAUAUCUAUACUAUGUGUAUCAGUUUAUGAUAUAAUUUUCAUCAAUUCAUAAUUCUAUCUUCUUAUGAUAUAUAAAAAUAUACUAGUUUGGAUCUUCAUUAGUUUCUCAGUCUUCAGUCUCAUUUUCUUCUUCAGUACGUCUUGUCCCUAUGUCAUUCUCAGUAAUUGUUUAGUAUUAGCUAUUCUGGUUAUCAUUCAGAGAUAAGAGGUGAGUGUUUGGUGUUUCACUCCAUCUAGCGGGGAGGCGCCUCGGCCGCUGUCCGAUGGACCGUCUGGUCUGCCGCCUUCUCCGUCCGAUGGGCAGCAAACCUCUUGGCUGCUCUGCGGUGGUUCCUCUUGUCGUCCCUCCGCAUGGCCGUAUUGUGCUGAUGCUGCUGCAGCUGCUGCAUAUUUGCGCUGGGCUUGCAGUUUCCUCAUUGCACUGCUUGAUUUCUUAUGUGAUGCCGCAGACAGAAAGUUUCUGAGUACGUGAUGCAUCGAUGGACGCACCCCAAGCGGCCAAACACGACGUGUUUUGUCCUGUGCGCAGAAGCUUUGGAGGCGAUGUGUUGCCCUUAGUACUUUCUCGACAAAUCCAGCAGUGUUGUUUCAUAUAGAACUUGAAAUUACCUAUCUGCCAUGGGGAUGUACUGCCCUCAGCCCUCUCUCAGCAAAACUAGCAGUGCAGGUUCUCUGGUAUACAUCUUAAUAAGUUUUAACAUGUACAUCUUUUCAGUACAAAUUUUUAAGAAGUUUCUUUCUGAACUUCUCACAAUUAAUAUACAUGAACUUGAUUAUCUUUUUAACAUGUACUAAUAUCAGCUUCGUUGGAUUUUUGUGCGUGUGUUUGUAACACAAUCAGUUCAGAUCUCGAGAGACCGUAAGUUCAAUUACCACUGAGCAUCCAAAAUGGAUACAAGAUCAGAACAUGGACAAUCACCAUGCGAGUAAACCCUUUUUGUUCCUUGUGAAGUAUUACCUUUCAAUUAUUGAAACAUCAAGUUUCUUGUAAGUAACUGUUAGUACUAAUGCAAUCAUCUAAUCUUUUUUCUUAUGUCAUUAGCAACUAUUUUUUUGCUUCAGUCAUACAUAAGUAUCUUGAUUCUUGUUUACCUCUUAUUGCAGGAUGAUUCCAUUCUCUGCAAUUUCCAUUAGACAAGUGGGCUAGGUCCAAAGAUCGGGGAACAAUAUGGCGCUCUAUUUGAGGAAGAGGAAUUGAAUAGACACAAAGAGUGUAUAUUUACUUUUCUUGUAAGUAAACCUGCCGCCGAUCCUCCACUGCUCCAUUAAUGCUCCCCUAGCAUGUGCAAGUCCCCUUGUUAUACUCUUUAUUUAUUUCUGUACCAUUAGCAAUGUAAGCACCAAAAUUAGGCUUCCAGUUUGCUAAGUUGCUUUAGUACCAGUAUCAAAAUGUAUAUGUUAUAGCAGUUCCAUUUGUUAAUUGCUAUUGCAGAUUCAGUAAAUGCUGCCUAAUUUGUCUUCUUAGUGUAGUUUUAUUGUGAAGAUUUUUUAAUGCACACCGAAACCAGAUGUCUACUGCUACAUGCGCAUCAUAUGCAUAUUUUUCCAUCGAGAAACCUCAUCAUAUGUAUUUGUCUUCUAACUUUAGAUUUUGAUAAUGCGAAGUUAUAUACGUGUACACAUUUCUAAUUUCUAUUGCUAUUAGUUCAAAUGAUCAAUUGAUAUAAGUUCCCAUGAUAUUGUCCCAUCAGUUCAAGUGAUCAUUGUUGUCUUUGUUUAAGCUGUUCAAGUACAAAAUUAGUAGCAUUGAUCUUUGUGCAGCGAUCAGGACGUUCAGCUCUGCCUCCGCAAGCCGUUCACCCCUGCCACAGGAGGCCGUUCGACGAUGCAGCGCUAUCAUGUUGUGUUUUUUCAGUACAUGUUUUGUGUGCUUUUCAGUUCACCUACUUGAUGAUUCUAUGUCCAAUUUCCCCCCCGUUUAUGUGUUCUUCCUAUAGUAAACUAGGUGUUUGUGUUGUGCCUUAAUAAGCAUUACCUUGUAUGGAUCAAAACUACCAUAUGUUCUUGUAAAUGAAGCUCUGCUUCUGUUUUGUUUGAAGUUAUUUGAUACGUCUCCGUCGUAUUUACUUUUUCAAACACUUUUGCCCGUGUUUUGGACUCUUAACUUGUAUGAUUUGGAUUUUUUUUUCAAAUCUAUGACGCAUUUUAUAGCAAAUUCGAAAACUAUAGCAAAGAAUAGAGAAAAAUCAAAA
This 13137-nucleotide long non-coding RNA is filed under the name Triticum aestivum (bread wheat). RNAcentral describes it as "long non-coding RNA (TAES_LNC014835)". The stretch from base 974 to 1080 matches the Rfam family "MIR1120/MIR1122 microRNA precursor family". The record is from RNAcentral. Lineage: Eukaryota; Viridiplantae; Streptophyta; Magnoliopsida; Poales; Poaceae.